This 4734-nucleotide ribosomal RNA is filed under the name Talaromyces marneffei. RNAcentral describes it as "large subunit ribosomal RNA". The stretch from base 1 to 2561 matches the Rfam family "Bacterial large subunit ribosomal RNA". The record is from RNAcentral. Lineage: Eukaryota; Fungi; Ascomycota; Eurotiomycetes; Eurotiales; Trichocomaceae.
UGUAAAAAGAAAUUAUUAUGGAUAAUUAGCUAUAUAUUAAAGAAUCACAUAGAUGUUAUCUUGAUUCUAAGAGAAAUCCUAAAUAAUAAAACAAAGUGAAUUGAAAUAUCUCAGUAACUUUAGGAAAAUAAAUCAAACGAGAUUAUUAUUUAAGUAAAUACUAAAUAAUAAUAGCCUAAUUUAAGUAAAAUGGAUAAUAUCUGUUUGAAUAUAGGGGAACCUUCCUCUAAGGCUAAAUAUGAUAUAUAAGCGAUAGUGAAUAGUACCGUGAGGUAACAUUUGAAAUAGUAAUUUUAUAAGCAGCUCGAGUAAAAAUUAAAAUUAAAAAUAAGAGUGUACCUUUUGCAUAAUGGGUCAGCAAGUUAAUUUUAGAUGCAAGUGGUAUAAAUAAUUAUAUAUGGUAUAAUCUAUAUAAUUAAAUUACCUAAGAUAAACCAAUUAUGAAAAAAUGAUAAGUAUCUAAAAUUAGACCCGAAGGCUAGUGAUCUUACCAUGAUCAGGGUUAAAAAGGCCCGAACGGGUUAUCGUUGUAUAGAUAUCCGAUGAAUUGUGGUAAGUUAGUGAAAGAUAAAACUGACUAGUAUAGCUGGUUUUCCGCGAAACCUAUGUGAGUAGGUAAUUUAAUUAACAUCUUAGCAGGUACAGAACUGUGAUCUCGGACAAUAUUAUUUUUAUAAUACUUGUUUACAUCGGGGGAUUGUAGUGAUUUUAUCGGAGAGUAUUUGCACUCGGAAGGGCAAAGAUGAAUAUUGAAUAAUCGGACAUAGUACGAUAAGGUUGUAUGUCUAAAGGGAAACAGCCCAGAACAAGAGUUUAAGGUUCCAAAAUUAUUGUUAAGUGAAAUUAAGGAUGUUUUUUUCAAAAACAAUCAGGAAAUAGGCUUAGAGGCGGCCAUUUUUUGAAGAUCUCGUAACAGAGCACUGAUUAAAUUUAAUAGGAAAAAAUACCGAAAAUUUAACGGAUCUAAAUAAUAUACCGAAACCUUGUACACAAUAACUGUGGGGUAGCGGAACAUCGGAUGUUUGAAUAAUUAGUAUAUUUAUUUUAUUAAGUAUACUUACACAUAUAAGUCAAAUGUAUUGUUUAUAAAAAAAUAUAUUUAUAUAUUUUUUUUAUAAAUUUUCAUUUUUCAUAGAUUGGCUCAUAUUUUGAGUUUGACUUAUAUUGUUGAGAGAAUUCCGAUAGAGAAUGCUGACAUGAGUAACGAAAAAGUUAACCUCGCCUUAAGCUUAUGGUAUUUAAAUUAAUUUUCGGUGUCUAAGUAAUUAAUCUAAAGAUAAUUACGAUGACGUAAUGGUGAAUUUUUAAUUUAUAUAAUUAUAAAUUUAACUAAUUACAAAACUAUAAGUAACAAUAUAUAUAAUAUAUUACUAUAAUGAAAGAUUGCAUAACCUUUGUAAAGUAGCAGAGGUUCAGGAAAUAAGUUUUUUAUUAUAUACUAUUUAUAUUAUACAAAAUAUUGUUAUAUUAAAUGAUAUAGUAAUAAAAAAGUAAUUAGCAUAUACCGUACCUAGAUACUAUCACAAGUAAGCAAGUAGAGUAUACAAAGGCGUUUGAGUGAACAAUCAUUAAGGAACUCGGCAAAUUGACUACCGUAACUUCGGGAUAAGGAGAACCAUUUUUAUUAGUUUGACCAAUUUUAUAUUGGAUAAUUAUUAAAUUAAUAGAAAGAGGGGGCAUAGAAUAAUGUUGUACGACUGUUUAAUAAAAACAAAGCACUCUGCCAAGAUAAAAGUCUAAGUAUUGAGUGUGAUGUCUGCCCAAUGUCGGCUGGAUAACGAAUUUAUCUUGAUAUUUAUUUAAGGUUUUGAAGGAUACCCCGAUCAAUGGCGGCCUUACCUAUGAGGGUCCUAAGGUAGCGGAAUACCUUGGCCGUUAAAUGCGGUCUUUGCAUGAAUGACUUAACGAUACAACAGCUGUCUCGAUGAUUGUCUCAGUGAAAUUGGAAUAGCAGUGCAGAUACUGUUUACCUCUAGAUAGACGAGAAGACCCUAUGCAGCUUUACUGUUACUAAUUACAAGAGAUUACUUUAAGUUAAUUGCGAGUGUAUAAGGUAGUCGUAAGACAAUAAUGAAACACCUUUAUUUGUACUUAUUAUCUACUCUUGAUGAUUAGGAGGCAGUUUAUGCGGGGCACAGAUCCCACAAAAAGUACCUGGGUAUAUCCAAAGUUCAUAUUGUAAAUUUGUAAAUUUAGUUACAAAUAUUUUAAUUUGUUAUUAAUUAUGUUAAUAAUAAUACAGUUAUUAUUAGAUUAAAUUCAGUAUAUUUUUUAUUUUUAGUAAGAUUUUAACUAUAUGGUGAAUAGAUGUAUUUUAAGUUAAAUUUUUUUAUUUAGCUUAUUUUUAUAUUAAUAUUGUAUAUGUUCUUUAUUAAUAUAAUUUUUAUAUAUACUAUAAAAGUUUAAUGGCUAAAUCUUGCUUUACUGUUUGACUUACAAGUCUAUCAGUCGCGUAAGCGGGGCAUAUGAUCACAAGAUGCAUAAAGGAAAGGUCUUGGAUUAAAGAAAAAGUUACGCUAGGGAUUUAGCUUAAGUCCCCUAAUAUCAUAAGAUAUUAUAUAUAAUUUGGGUAAAUUUCAAAAACAACUUUAAAAGUGAAUUUGAAGCGAAACUUAUUUUAGCUUUAAUUUUAUAUUUUAUAUAAAAUAAAAUAAGGACGUUCAACGACUAAAAGGUGAGUAUUGCUAACAAUAAUCCUUAUUAGAUACGCCCAACAUCUUUAUAAAUUAUAAUUAGUAUAAAUAUUAUUAUUAUUAUAAUAAUGAAAUAGACUUGAUGUUAUUAUCAAGCUUGUUAUUUUUAUAAUAACAUUAAAUAUAAAUAUGUUAAAUAUUAUAAAAUCUAAAUUGAAUACUUCUUAUAAAAAAAAACGUAGUAAUAAUAAAAAUGUUACUAUAGGUUAUAAAAAUUUUGUACCUGCUAUAAGAGAUUGAAAAAAUAGUAUUUAUGUUUAUAAUAAAAAUACUUUAAGUUUAAUACCAGUAGCUAGUAAUUAUAUUAUGAAAUUAAUUAAAGGUUAUUUUAGUUUAUCUAAUUUAAAAUUAGAAAAAAAAUUAAGAAAAGAAAAUCUACGUCGUAGAUCCAUAAAAUUAUCUACAAAUAAAAUUUUUUUAAGUGAUGGUGAAUUUAAACAUACAAAUGAUAAAGUAAUUAUUACAUUAUAUUUAUAUAAUAGACAAAAAUACAAUUAUUUAUAUAAAUUAAAAAAAAGAUAUGUAAAAUUAUUUGUUAAAACUAAAUUUUUGGAAAAACUAGAUUUAAUUAAAUCUAAAGGAUUAGAAAUUUUAGAAAAACAAAAAGAAUAUAAAAAAGAAUUAAAAUUAGUUUUACCUAGUUAUAAUUAUAAAGUAUCUCUUUUUCAACAUUUAUAUUACAAAAAUUUCAUUAAAAAAAGUUUAAAAAGACUUAAGUUUUAUAUGUUUUAUAAACAAUUACUUUAUAUUAAUCAAAAUAAAUUUAAUUAUUCUUACUUACAAGGUUUAAUAUAUUUAAUAAAAAAAAUUUUUAAUAAAAAUGUAGAAUUAAAUUUAAUAAAUUUAAAAUAUUUUUAUUUUAAUAGUGAUAUUUUUUCACAACCUUUAGUUUUAAAAUUAAGAAAAAAAAGAAAUUUAUUAAGAUAUUUGAAAGCUUGUGUUAGAAAAGUAAAAAUAAAAAAAACUAAUGAAAUAAUAAAUAAUUAUUUUUUUGAUCUUAAUCAAUUGUCUAAUAUAAAAGAUGUAGAUAUUUUAAAUAAUUUGUUAUUAGAGUUAUUAAAACAUAAUGAAAAAAAUUAUAGAAACAAUAUUAUAUUAAGAAAUAAAUAUGGUAUUAAUAUAUUAAAAUAUAUAAUAUUAAAUAAUAUUAAAUAUAAAAGAGUAUCUGGUGUUAGAUUAGAAGCUGCAGGUAGAUUAACUAAACGUUAUACUGCAUCAAGAUCUCGUUAUAAAGUUAUUUAUAAAGGUAAUUUAGAAAAUACACUUUCUUCUAUUAAAGGUUAUUCUUCUGUAUUAUUAAGAGGAAACUUUAAGCCUAAUUUACAAUACACUAAACUAAAUUCUAAAUCUAGAAUUGGUUCUUUUGGUGUUAAAGGUUGAGUUAGUGGUGAGUAAAUUAUCUGUAUAUAUUAAAAAAAUUAUUCUUAUUUAUAUAAAGAUGAAGAAAUAGUCUGAACCAUUUUUUGAAAAAUGGAAAUAAAUAUUUUAUGGUAACAAAAAUUGAACAGGCUAAUUUGCGCAAGAGAGUACAAAUUGAGUGCGCGGUUUGGCACCUCGAUGUCGGCUUAGCUCAUCCACAUGAAUGCAAAAAUCAUGAAGGGUUCGACUGUUCGUCGAUUAAAGAGCUACAUGAGCUGGGUUUAAUACGUCGUGAGACAGUAUGGUUUCUAUCUUCUAGAGGAAAUUGAAGUAAAAUAAAGAUAGCCCCUUCGUACGAAAGGAGUUGGGUAUGUUGAUCUAUGGUUUACUUGUUGUUUAUAAUGCAAUAUUUUUGCCGCUUACUUUUACUUAAGUAAGUUGUUUAUAGGCAUGGCAAGAAAGCUACAUCAAUUAGAGAUAAGUGCUGAAUGCAUUUAAGCGCGAAACUCACUUUAAGAUACUUAUAAACGUAGUAGAACACUACGAUUUAUUAUAAAAAAAUUUUACAAAUAAAUUUUUCUUUAUAAUAAAUAGGUUUUAGUUGUAUAUAAUAUAUAUAUAUAUAUAUAUAUUGACAUAAAAUACUAAUUUUUUUUUUAACUAAAAAUUUUCCAUAGCAAUG